RNAcentral lists this unclassified non-coding RNA (200 nucleotides) under Helvella sp. RNAcentral's name for it is "partial internal transcribed spacer 2". Lineage: Eukaryota; Fungi; Ascomycota; Pezizomycetes; Pezizales; Helvellaceae. The record is from RNAcentral.
UUAAGUUCAGCGGGUAUCCCUACCUGAUUCGAGGAGUUCCAAUGUCAUGUGAUGCCAGCCUCCCAGGCCCCGCACGUGGCAUGGGUCUGGCAGCCUUGCAGUGCCGGAGUCGAUACCGAGGUACCGCGCUCAGCGACGCGGCAGGCGUCUGGCCAGGGCUGGCAGCCUCUCCGCGCUCGAGGCGAUAAGCAAAGAAUAUC